UCCUACGGGAGGCAGCAGUGGGGAAUAUUGCACAAUGGAGGAAACUCUGAUGCAGCAACGCCGCGUGGAGGAUGACACAUUUCGGUGCGUAAACUCCUUUUAUUAGGGAAGAUAAUGACGGUACCUAAUGAAUAAGCACCGGCUAACUCCGUGCCAGCAGCCGCGGUAAUACGGGGGGUGCAAGCGUUACUCGGAAUCACUGGGCGUAAAGAGCAUGUAGGCUGGUUUGUAAGUUGGAAGUGAAAUCCUAUGGCUCAACCAUAGAACUGCUUCCAAAACUACUUACCUAGAGUAUGGGAGAGGUAGAUGGAAUUUCUGGUGUAGGGGUAAAAUCCGUAGAGAUCAGAAGGAAUACCGAUUGCGAAGGCGAUCUACUGGAACAUUACUGACGCUUCAGAUGCGAAAGCGUGGGGAGCAAACAGGAUUAGAUACCCUGGUAGUCCACGCCCUAAACGAUGCACACUAGUUGUUGCUAUGCUAGACAUAGCAGUAAUGCAGUUAACACAGUAAGUGUGCCGCCUGGGGAGUACGGUCGCAAGAUUAAAACUCAAAGGAAUAGACGGGGACCCGCACAAGCGGUGGAGCAUGUGGUUUAAUUCGACGAUACGCGAAGAACCUUACCUGGCCUUGACAUAGAUAGAAUAUUCCAGAGACGGAAUAGUGCUAGUUUACUAGAGCUAUCAUACAGGUGCUGCACGGCUGUCGUCAGCUCGUGUCGUGAGAUGUUGGGGUUAAGUCCCGCAACGAGCGCAACCCUCGUGUUUAGUUACUAACAGUUCGGCUGAGGACUCUAGACAGACUGCCUGGGCAACCAGGAGGAAGGUGAGGACGACGUCAAGUCAUCAUGGCCCUUACGGCCAGGGCUACACACGUGCUACAAUGGGGUAUACAAAGAGCUGCGAUACCGCGAGGUGGAGCAAAUCUCAUAAAAUAUCUCCCAGUUCGGAUAGCAGUCUGCAACUCGACUGCUUGAAGUUGGAAUCGCUAGUAAUCGUAGAUCAGCAAUGCUACGGUGAAUACGUUCCCGGGUCUUGUACUCACCGCCCGUCACACCAUGGGAGUUGAUUUCAUUCGAAGCGGGGAUGCUAAAAUAGCUACCUUCCACAGUGGAAUUAGCGACUAGGGUGAAGUCGUAACAAGGUAACCA
RNAcentral lists this ribosomal RNA (1147 nucleotides) under uncultured Arcobacter sp. Its description in RNAcentral is "bacterial SSU rRNA". It matches the Rfam family "Bacterial small subunit ribosomal RNA", at positions 337 to 1502 of the family's 1533-position model. Lineage: Bacteria; Pseudomonadati; Campylobacterota; Epsilonproteobacteria; Campylobacterales; Arcobacteraceae. The record is from RNAcentral.